RNAcentral lists this unclassified non-coding RNA (153 nucleotides) under soil metagenome. Its description in RNAcentral is "partial internal transcribed spacer 1". The record is from RNAcentral.
CCGAGUUAUCAACUCCCAAACCCCUGUGAACAUACCUUUUGUUGCCUCGGCGGGAUCGCCCCGGCGCCUCCGGGCCCGGAUCCAGGCGCCCGCCGCAGGACCCAAACUCUUGUUUUCUAUAUGAAUCUUCUGAGUGACACAGCAAAUAAAUUA